AAGUUUGAUUAUGGCUCAGGAUGAACGCUAGCGGCAGGCUUAACACAUGCAAGUCGAGGGGCAACGCGAGUAGCAAUACUUGGCGGCGACCGGCGCAAGGGUGCGUAACGCGUGAGCAACAUGCCCGUAUCAGGGGGAUAAUCCAGGGAAACUUGGUCUAAUACCCCAUAGUAAUUUUGUAAGGCAUCUUAUAAGAUUUAAAGCUUUGGUGGAUACGGAUUGGCUCGCGUGACAUUAGCUGGAUGGUAAGGUAACGGCUUACCAUGGCUAUGAUGUCUAGGGGUUCUGAGAGGAAGGUCCCCCACACUGGAACUGAGACACGGUCCAGACUCCUACGGGAGGCAGCAGUGAGGAAUAUUGGACAAUGGAUGGAAAUCUGAUCCAGCCAUGCCGCGUGAAAAGGAAGAAGGUCCUAUGGAUUGUAAACUUCUUUUGUAUGGGAGCAAUAAGGCCUACGAGUAGGCUGAUGAGAGUACCAUACGAAUAAGCACCGGCUAACUCCGUGCCAGCAGCCGC
RNAcentral lists this ribosomal RNA (516 nucleotides) under uncultured bacterium. RNAcentral's name for it is "bacterial SSU rRNA". It matches the Rfam family "Bacterial small subunit ribosomal RNA", at positions 9 to 518 of the family's 1533-position model. The record is from RNAcentral.